RNAcentral lists this ribosomal RNA (513 nucleotides) under uncultured Bacillota bacterium. Its description in RNAcentral is "bacterial SSU rRNA". It matches the Rfam family "Bacterial small subunit ribosomal RNA", at positions 1 to 527 of the family's 1533-position model. The record is from RNAcentral. Lineage: Bacteria; Bacillati; Bacillota.
UGGAUCCAGACUUUGAUCAUGGCUCAGGACGAACGCUGGCGGCGCGCCUAACACAUGCAAGUCGAACGGAGCUUAGAGAGCUUGCUUUUUAAGCUUAGUGGCGAACGGGUGAGUAACGCGUGAGUAACCUGCCCUAGAGUGGGGGACAACAGUUGGAAGCGACUGCUAAUACCGCAUAAGCCCACGGUACCGCAUGGUACUGAGGGAAAAGGAUUUAUUCGCUUUAGGAUGGACUCGCGUCCAAUUAGCUAGUUGGUGAGGUAACGGCCCACCAAGGCGACGAUUGGUAGCCGGACUGAGAGGUUGAACGGCCACAUUGGGACUGAGACACGGCCCAGACUCCUACGGGAGGCAGCAGUGGGGGAUAUUGCACAAUGGGGGAAACCCUGAUGCAGCGACGCCGCGUGGAGGAAGAAGGUUUUCGGAUUGUAAACUCCUGUCGUUAGGGACGAUAAUGACGGUACCUAACAAGAAAGCACCGGCUAACUACGUGCCAGCAGCCGCGGUAAAACG